AACGUAGGAGGCAAGCGUUAUCCGGAUUCACUGGGCGUAAAGCGCGUGCAGGCGGUUCGGUAAGUUGGGCGUGAAAUCUCCUGGCUUAACUAGGAGAGGUCGUUCAAUACUACCGGACUUGAGAGUGAUAGAGGAAGAUGGAAUUCCCGGUGUAGUGGUGAAAUGCGUAGAUAUCGGGAGGAACACCAGUGGCGAAAGCGAUCUUCUGGAUCAUUUCUGACGCUCAGACGCGAAAGCUAGGGUAGUAAACGGGAUUAGAGACCCCGGUAAUCCUAGCCGUAAACGAUGUAAACUUGGCGUCGGUGGCUUAAACUCCAUCGGUGCCGCAGCUAACGCGAUAAGUUUACCGCCUGGGGACUACGAUCGCAAGAUUAAA
This 376-nucleotide ribosomal RNA is filed under the name uncultured bacterium. Its description in RNAcentral is "bacterial SSU rRNA". It matches the Rfam family "Bacterial small subunit ribosomal RNA", at positions 524 to 898 of the family's 1533-position model. The record is from RNAcentral.